UUAGGCACACCCAGUGCAUGGGGUUGCAUCGCUGACCAUCCUGGCUAAUAGCCAUGGAUGGACCUAUCCUCUAUGAAUGUAUCUAGUUCUUUUUUCAACCCAGUUAUACUUUGGGCCUUCACAACAUCCCUCAGCAAUGAGUUCCACAGGUUAAUUGUGCAUUGUGUGAAAAAGUACUUCCUCUUGGUUGUAUUAAAGCUGCUGUCUAUUAAUUUCACCUGGUUUUUGUAUUGUGGGAAAGCACAAAUAACACUUCUC
Molecule: long non-coding RNA, 258 nt
Organism: Chelonia mydas (Green sea turtle)
Lineage: Eukaryota; Metazoa; Chordata; Testudines; Cheloniidae
Exons: 3
Source: RefSeq, a predicted model, not a curated record